RNAcentral lists this ribosomal RNA (324 nucleotides) under uncultured eukaryote. Its description in RNAcentral is "partial 18S ribosomal RNA". It matches the Rfam family "Eukaryotic small subunit ribosomal RNA", at positions 1470 to 1796 of the family's 1831-position model. The record is from RNAcentral.
CCCUUAGAUGUCCUGGGCUGCACGCGCGCUACACUGAUGUGUCCAGUAAGCACCUAACCUCUUCCGAAAGGAACGGGUAACCUUUGCAAAGCACAUCGUGAUGGGGAUAGAUUAUUGCAAUUAUUAGUCUUGAACGAGGAAUUCCUAGUAAGCACAAGUCAUCAGCUUGUGUUGAUUACGUCCCUGCCCUUUGUACACACCGCCCGUCGCUCCUACCGAUUGAAUGUUCCGGUGAGCUCUUCGGACUGCGCGGUCUGCAGUUUCUGCGUUCCGUGCGGAAAGUUGCGCAAACCUUAACAUUUAGAGGAAGGAGAAGUUGUAACA